CCCAGCACAGGGGCUUAUCAGUGCCACCCAAUCAGCUGCUUGAAAAAGUCACAAAACCUCAAUUAAAACAAAGAAAAUGAUAUGUUUUGUUUGUUUCUUGAUUUUUUUGGGUUUUUUUUUCCCUGUGAGCAAUAAAAACCAGGUACUUCAGCAAAGCAAGAUAACUCAAGAGCUGAUGAAUAAAUAAUACCUGUGGAUGAAUAAUUUAAAUGUAGUGUCAGAUGCCUUGAACAAUCUUUAUCCUUGAAACAAUAAGAUGUGACCACGUGCAGUUUGUGUGCCAGACAGAGAGGGUGGAGGAUUAAAACCCUGACCUGGGCUCGAGCAACAUCCCACACAGCACUUUCCAGGAAACAAGAGCCCUAAAUUCCUGCCCUGAAGUUUAGGUAGGACAAGUGUCUUUUCCCAGGUUGUUUUGCUUUCCCUCAGCUGCUGAGGAUGGAGGAAAUUGGUCAGGUGAGGCUGAUCAAGGUGUUUCAGCCACACAGGGAACUUAAAUAGCAGCUGAUAUACAGGUGGGGGGAAAAAAAGUUUUCCCAGGAUUUUCUCCUUAAAAGAGAGAUUGAGAAGUUUCACAAGGAAAAGGAGCCUUUAACUCCUCCUUGCUUUAUUUAAGAUAACUCAUUAAUGUUUUGCCUUCAGGUGGUUUUGGUAAUUGAAAAUCCAGGCUCAGGAAUCCUUAAAUUCUCCUGGCUGGGGCUGUGGUGGCCUUGCUGCUCUCCAGAUGUGUCCCCACGCCAGGCUCCUCUGCAGGGACAUGUCCUGAUGUCCUUGGUAUGUGUACUCUUCUCCCUUGGUUUUGCACGCUGCUCUUCACCUCAUCUUCAUACAAAAGGGUUUUCAAGGUUAUCUGAGUAAUUCCAGACUGAAGUGUUUCUCUCUUGGAAGGUGUCUGUUGAGAAGGAAUUCAGGGUGGAUUGGCCUGCGAAGAAUUUAUUUCUGGAAUUGGUAUGAGAAAAUGGGAACAUGAGAUCUCCUUUAACCUGGUGUUUGGAGUGAAAACACAGCUCUGCUUUUAUGAAAUUAAAGAUUUUGGCAAAUGUUAUCUUUGAGCUUUGAUUUGAGGUGUUAAUAAAUAGAAUGAAAGAGUUGGGAAGGGGAAAUGU
RNAcentral lists this long non-coding RNA (1106 nucleotides) under Cyanistes caeruleus (blue tit). Its description in RNAcentral is "lncRNA (ENSCCEG00000013652.1)". Lineage: Eukaryota; Metazoa; Chordata; Aves; Passeriformes; Paridae. The record is from RNAcentral.